This 585-nucleotide ribosomal RNA is filed under the name uncultured bacterium. Its description in RNAcentral is "partial 16S ribosomal RNA". It matches the Rfam family "Bacterial small subunit ribosomal RNA", at positions 354 to 932 of the family's 1533-position model. The record is from RNAcentral.
UGGGGGAAUAUUGCACAAUGGGCGCAAGCCUGAUGCAGCCAUGCCGCGUGUGUGAAGAAGGCCUUCGGGUUGUAAAGCACUUUCAGCGAGGAGGAAGGUGGUGAGCUUAAUACGCUCAUCAAUUGACGUUACUCGCAGAAGAAGCACCGGCUAACUCCGUGCCAGCAGCCGCGGUAAUACGGAGGGUGCAAGCGUUAAUCGGAAUUACUGGGCGUAAAGCGCACGCAGGCGGUUUGUUAAGUCAGAUGUGAAAUCCCCGGGCUCAACCUGGGAACUGCAUUUGAAACUGGCAAGCUAGAGUCUCGUAGAGGGGGGUAGAAUUCCAGGUGUAGCGGUGAAAUGCGUAGAGAUCUGGAGGAAUACCGGUGGCGAAGGCGGCCCCCUGGACGAAGACUGACGCUCAGGUGCGAAAAGCGUGGGGAGCAAAACAGGAUUAGAUACCCUGGUAGUCCACGCUGUAAACGAUGUCGAUUUUGGAGGUUGUGCCCCUUGAGGCGUGGCUUCCGGAGCUAACGCGUUAAAUCGACCGCCUGGGGAGUACGGCCGCAAGGUUAAAACUUAAAUGAAUUGACGGGGUCAUAGCUG